RNAcentral lists this ribosomal RNA (254 nucleotides) under uncultured bacterium. Its description in RNAcentral is "partial 16S ribosomal RNA". It matches the Rfam family "Bacterial small subunit ribosomal RNA", at positions 524 to 776 of the family's 1533-position model. The record is from RNAcentral.
UACGAAGGGGGCUAGCGUUGUUCGGAAUCACUGGGCGUAAAGCGCACGCAGGCGGAUCGUUAAGUCAGGGGUGAAAUGCCGAGGCUCAACCUCGGAACUGCCUUUGAUACUGGCGAUCUUAGAGUCCGGGAGAGGUGAGUGGAACUCCGAGUGUAGAGGUGAAAUUCGUAGAUAUUCGGAAGAACACCAGUGGCGAAGGCAAUCCCCUGGGCCUGCACUGACGCUCAUGCACGAAAGCGUGGGGAGCAAACAGG